Molecule: ribosomal RNA, 756 nt
Filed under: Erysiphe trifoliorum
Lineage: Eukaryota; Fungi; Ascomycota; Leotiomycetes; Helotiales; Erysiphaceae
Description: eukaryotic LSU rRNA
Rfam family: Eukaryotic large subunit ribosomal RNA
Source: RNAcentral
UUGACCUCGAAUCAGGUAGGAAUACCCGCUGAACUUAAGCAUAUCAAUAAGCGGAGGAAAAGAAACCAACCGGGAUUACCUCAGUAACGGCGAGUGAAGCGGUAACAGCUCAAAUUUGAAAUCUGGCUCCUCUGGAGUCCGAGUUGUAAUUUGUAGAAGAUGCUUUGGGUUGUGGGUUCGGCCUAAGUUCCUUGGAACAGGACGUCAUAGAGGGUGAGAAUCCCGUAUGUGGCCGAGGCCCGCGCCUAUGUAAAGCUCUUUCAACGAGUCGAGUUGUUUGGGAAUGCAGCUCAAAAUGGGUGGUAAAUUUCAUCUAAAGCUAAAUAUGGGCCAGAGACCGAUAGCGCACAAGUAGAGUGAUCGAAAGAUGAAAAGCACUUUGGAAAGAGAGUUAAACAGUACGUGAAAUUGUUGAAAGGGAAGCGCUUGCACCCAGACUUGGGCGCUGCUGAUCACCUUGCGGUCUCCGCGAGUGCACUCGACAGCGCACAGGCCAGCAUCGGUUCGGGUGGCUGGAUAAAGGCCGUAGGAACGUAGCUCCCUUCGGGGAGUGUUAUAGCCUACGGUGCCAUGCAGCCCAGCCGGACCGAGGACCGCGCCUUCGGGCUAGGAUGCUGGCGUAAUGGGUGUAAGCGACCCGUCUUGAAACACGGACCAAGGAGUCUAACAUCUAUGCGAGUGUUUGGGUGGUAAACCCAUACGCGGAAUGAAAGUGAACGUAGGUGAGAACCCCUUUGGGGCGCAUCAUCGACCGAU